This 492-nucleotide ribosomal RNA is filed under the name uncultured bacterium. RNAcentral describes it as "partial 16S ribosomal RNA". It matches the Rfam family "Bacterial small subunit ribosomal RNA", at positions 29 to 507 of the family's 1533-position model. The record is from RNAcentral.
AGUGAACGCUGGCGGUAGGCCUAACACAUGCAAGUCGAACGGCAGCACAGUAAGAGCUUGCUCUUACGGGUGGCGAGUGGCGGACGGGUGAGGAAUACAUCGGAAUCUACUUUUUCGUGGGGGAUAACGUAGGGAAACUUACGCUAAUACCGCAUACGACCUACGGGUGAAAGCAGGGGAUCUUCGGACCUUGCGCGAUUAAAUGAGCCGAUGUCGGAUUAGCUAGUUGGCGGGGUAAAGGCCCACCAAGGCGACGAUCCGUAGCUGGUCUGAGAGGAUGAUCAGCCACACUGGAACUGAGACACGGUCCAGACUCCUACGGGGGGCAGCAGUGGGGAAUAUUGGACAAUGGGCGCAAGCCUGAUCCAGCCAUACCGCGUGGGUGAAGAAGGCCUUCGGGUUGUAAAGCCCUUUUGUUGGGAAAGAAAAGCAGCAGGUUAAUACCCCGCUGUUCUGACGGUACCCAAAGAAUAAGCACCGGCUAACUUCGUG